This is a long non-coding RNA of Gavialis gangeticus (Gharial), 176 nucleotides long. RefSeq lists it as uncharacterized. The record is from RefSeq and is a predicted model, not a curated record. Lineage: Eukaryota; Metazoa; Chordata; Crocodylia; Gavialidae. The transcript is spliced from 3 exons.
AAAGCAUGCUAUAUCACAAACCUUGAGAUUGAUGAGAACUAGUCAGGUUCAGGGGCUGAAACAGAAACCUCUCAACUGAUUAUUAAAAAGCCUUAAAAAUGAUGGGUGCAAGAGUGAUGUUGUAGCUGUGACCUGGUGAAGAAUGUCUUGCAUUCAAAAGCUUGCCUAACUCUACU